Molecule: ribosomal RNA, 753 nt
Filed under: Triticum aestivum (bread wheat)
Lineage: Eukaryota; Viridiplantae; Streptophyta; Magnoliopsida; Poales; Poaceae
Description: partial small subunit ribosomal RNA
Source: RNAcentral
AUGAACCAUUCUUAUACAUUUGAUUUGAACAAUGAGAGUUGUGAUUGCAAAAGAUGGGAGCUGUCAGGAAUUCCAUGUCAUCAUGCUAUAGCUUGUGCUAGAGAGGAGAGGAUUGAUCCUGAAAGCCUGGUGCAUGAAUGCUAUUCAGUACAAACAUUCAUAAAAGCCUAUGGUUUCAACAUCAAGCCAAUGAGAGACCAGGAGCAUUGGACAAAGAUGGAUGGAGUAGAGGUGUACCCACCUGUGUACACAAAGGUCAUGGGCAGACCAAGGAGAAAUAGAAAGAAAGAUCCAGAAGAGAAGCAAGACAAGGAAGGAGGGAAGAAACUGACUAAACAUGGUGUAACCAUGCACUGUUCUCUGUGUGGAGGUGCAAAUCACAAUAAGGAAGGCCACAAUAAAUGGCAAGAAACUAACAGAGAGGCACCUCAAGCUACAGAAGAUGAUUCGGAAGACGAGUUUGAUGAUCCAUCCAUAAUUUCUAACAUAAUGGCACACACAGUACAUCCAACCAUGGAUCCAACUCAGACCCCAGGAUCAAUGGUUUAUCUCUUGCAACAAAUGGUAAAGUUCUUAAUCUGCUAUGUUUCUUUGUUUGAAUCUUGUUCAUUAUCACUUCAACUGAAUGUCUACAUUUUCCGUUGCUUAAUUAUUAGGAGAGGAUGUCAUAUCAACCAGUCAUGGAUCAUGGCCCUCUUCCUGAAUCUGCGUUUGUUGCACAAGCCAGAGCUACCGUGCCUCCACCUAGAGUGA